Nilaparvata lugens (brown planthopper) is the source of this 323-nucleotide long non-coding RNA. RefSeq lists it as uncharacterized. The record is from RefSeq and is a predicted model, not a curated record. The transcript has 4 exons. NCBI's taxonomy places the organism in Eukaryota, Metazoa, Arthropoda, Insecta, Hemiptera, Delphacidae.
AAAUGGAAUAUGUACGGCCAGUAACCAGGUUUGAGUUUCCACUUCUCAUUUUCUAUUCUGAUAGGACGGUGAACGUCUGAACGUACCCGGUGUCUGUUGUCUCAGUGUCUAGUUGUUGUUUUGUGUUUGUGGGAUUCAUUUACACUCUCUGCUCAUCGAAUUUAACCGGUGCCCAGACUCUUACUUCUUGAUCAACUUGCUUCAACAUAUAUUUUGCUGAUCUAUCAACACUCAUUCUUGGGCGAGGGAAAUUUAUAUGAAUAAGAAAGGAUUCGUGGACGAGGUAAUGAAAGGAAAAGGAGAUACAUUAAGCGGAAGGUAAA